RNAcentral lists this long non-coding RNA (22742 nucleotides) under Fragaria vesca (wild strawberry). Its description in RNAcentral is "long non-coding RNA (FVES_LNC001821)". The record is from RNAcentral. Lineage: Eukaryota; Viridiplantae; Streptophyta; Magnoliopsida; Rosales; Rosaceae.
UCCGAACUUAAAUAUCAUACUCAACAGUCGUAAAUACAACCUACUCCAAAAUACGACUUAAAUCCAACGGCCGGAUUCUACAUUAAUUACCCGCCAAAAAUACCACACUUCGGAAAUUCAUAAACCUAUCCAAAACUCAUCCAAAAAUUCCAUAACUCACUUCAAUAAACUCCCCUUAAUAUUCCAAAUUUAACAACAUUAAAAUCUCCCAACCGGCGGCGGCUCCGCCGGCAGCGGCGGCCGGAGGUCAAUUCCGGCGACCUCCAAAACCUAUGAAAUUUUAACAGCAUCUUCCUCUCAUCAAGCUCUACAACUUUCAUAACUAGCACAAACACCAAUUCCAAGCCUAACUAGGGCAAUCGACUAAAAACAUCAAAAACACCAUAAAACUUCCACCUCAAAUUUCUCCUUACCUAGCUCAAGAGGGAGUGAGUCCUUUUAGGGCAAGGUUGCUGGGUUGGAGGGCUACAAAACCAUACCAAGCUUGCCCGGAUUGGUGGCCGGAGGAGGAAGUUCCGGCGAAGGGAAGCUCGGGGCAGCCCUUGCUUUCGGGCGGCACCGCUCUCUCACGGCGGCGCUAGGGCUCCUCUCACCGGUCUAGAAAUGAUGCUGGGAGGGAGACCAACCGAACGGGACCGGUCCGGCGGCGAACGGAGGUCGGACGGAGGCGGGAGGACGGCCGGAAUUCUGCUGGGUGUAGAGAGGGGAAAACCGGGUGAGAAGAGAAGAAAAAUCGGGAGGGAGGGAGAAGAGAAAGAAGAAGAAAUGGGUUGGGCUCGGCCCAGCCGACCCAACACCCCUUUUAACCCAUAAUUCCAAAAUUCAACACCCCGAAAAAUAAUACCCGAAUAAAAAUUACCGUUUACUAGCUAAAAUUUACUAUUUUUACCGUCGCCGUAUAAUCCCCAUACGAAUUAUCCUCCGCACAUAAUCGUCCCCGAAACCCCUCUAGGGACCAAUUAAACUAUUUACUCAAUGAUCGAGACGGUAAAAUUCUUAUUAUAAUCACGCUAGUAAAUAAGGUAAAAAUAUAAGGGUCGGGAUGUGACAGUGCGAAUUUUCACUUUAGACUCACUUUUCAAUCGAAUUUUCACAUCUUCACCGUCUAGUCUUUAGAUACUAAUGUAUAGAUCAUCUCUACAAAAUUUCAACUAAUUUGGUUAUCCACACCGUAAGAAUAAAUAAGGACCUCCUUAGCCAAAAAAACAUGUAUAUAUAUAUAUACACGGAGCCAUUCCAAAGAGUGCGGACGUCCCUUCGUUCUCCACCGGACAGCUCCAAUGACGGUGCGCCUCCAUCCGAGCGGACACCAGCGGCGUCCCCGAUCAUUUUCUCUUCCCGGCGAGAUCGAUUUGAAGGUCUGGGCAGCAACCUCCACCCAAAACUUCAGACAAGAUCGAUCUCAUCAAAAAACUGGGAUUCGACGGACUUGUCAGGGAGAGAAAAUGAUCGGGGACGCCUCUGGUGUCCGCUCGGGUGGAGGUGCGCCGUCGUCAGCGCCGGACGGUGGAGAACGGAGGGACGUUCGCACUACCUCUGAUCCAGACUAUAUACAUAUACACACACACACACACACACUGCUAGAAUAAAGGACUUAGGUGACAAACAGGUUUCGUCGCCUAAGUUCUCAGCAUGGACCCCUAAGAACUUAGGUGACGAAUACAAAAUAAUGGUCGUCUAAAUGGAUACUUAGGCAACUAUUUAAUCAUCAUUGCAUAAGUCGAAGGUGAGGAACAUUGACACAUUUAGGCGUCGAAAUUAUUGUCGCCAACAAUUGGUGGCGAAAGAAAAUUAUAGUCGCCUUAGUUUCCUUUUACGUGACCAUUUAUUAAUCGUCGCUAUGUUUAACGCGAGGAUCCAACCCCGGCGACAGUUUCUCAUUUUUCGCCGCAUAAGACUUAAUUCAACAUUUUAUAUAUAUGCUUUUAAAUUAUAAUUAUAUAUUAUUAAAAAUCUAAUUAUCUCACUGAUAUGCACACAGUAAUUAUGUGUGCAUAUUUUCAAGUUUAUAUUCAAAGUUAAAAACCUGUGGUGCAAAUCAAAAUCAAAACAAAAGAAGUUCAAACUCAAAAAGUAGUACUAAACUUCCAUGAGGUAUAUAUACACAAAUAAAAAAGCAAGUUCAAAGUUCAUAGUUUAAACCCUCCCUAAUACCCUAGCCUCUUAUAGUCCUAUAUAGACAAUGUUUAACAAAAGAAGAGGCAAAUAUCAAGGGUUCCACAAAAACAAAAAACCAUGGACCUAGCUUCAACCAUUAACCUCAAGUUGUUGGCCUUCUUGUCCGCUCGGCUGCGACUACACAUACUUCUCCAACAUCUGUAUACGGCGCUCAUAAUCAAGGAUCUUCUCCUGAGCUACUCUAGUCUGCUCCCGGACUGCUUGUGCCUCCUCUUGAGCAUGCCGUGCCUCCUCUUGGACUUGUCGGGCGUGCUCCCGAACCUCCUCAAGAACUAUAUCAUUGGGACGAGAACGCCUUGUUGCUCUUUCCUUGCCCUCAAUUUCAACUCUCUCAAGCCCCUUUAUUCCCCCUCCCCCCCCCCCCCUCGAUUCCAAGGACCUUCUCAAAUGCGUCAAGCUGAGAUUUGAGGUCUACUUGUUGAAGGAGCUUAUCCUCUGGAGUGUCCGGUUGUUGUUCACUUAGCAUUGUAAGGAUCUUCUGUCUUAUAUCAUUCUGCAAUGACAGAAAACAAACUUAACAACACAGCAAAACACACAACAAUUCAGCGAAACACAGCAAAACACAACAAUUUCAUAAAAACAACUAUGGAAGGAAUUAAUAGACAUGCUGCAUUUAAUGAAACAUAUGAUACAUGCUACACACUUAGCAACACACAUCAACACAGCAACACUUGGCUGAAACAUAUAUAUGGGAUUUCAUCAACUCACAACAACACUUGGAUGUUGCAAAACACAACAACAUAUAAACACAAAGCAACACACAACAACAAUAACUGAAAGGAAGUGUCCAAUACAAUAAGUGUUAUAUAAAUGAAGUAAAAGAAUAAACAAACACAUAAAAGAACACUUACAGCUUUUUCAGGAACAAUCUCGUUAUGUGGGGCGUCGUACGCUACCUCAAAACCAUUGAUAAGGUAUAAUGAUUCACUCUCGCGCCUAAGUUUGUUUGCAUUGUAUAUGAAAGGUGUACACCCGGCGUGGUGAUGUAUGGUUAAUUUUUCUCAGUUUGCCAAGUUUGCAGCUGAGAGUUUCUGUUAAAAAAACAUAAAGAAAAGUUACUGCUUCACAUUGCAUCACAUAAGCUCAUAUAUAGGUAUAUGAUUUGAUUCAAUUCAUCAUUUUCCAAAACAAAAGUGAAAUCAAAUACUACACUAACCAUAGUGGUUUAAAUUUAAACUAACUAAAUUACAGAUUGUACUUGAAACUGAGGUGACAAAAAGUGUUGCUUAAGCCAAUUCCACUCAUCCAUCCUUCCUCCUUGCACAAACUCUUUCGGAGCCUUUUCCCCUUUGUAAUGCUUAAAAAACUUGUGGAGCUUAGCCUUCCAAGAAGUGUAUGUCUUGUUCGCCACCUUCAUUAACCAGUCAUACAUCUUUUGGUUAUAUUCGAUUUCAUAGCAAAUCUACCAAAAAUUAAAAGAGUAAUGAAAGCAGUAACUUGUCUGAUCAAAAUAUAGAAUAAUCAAAAUAACCGAUCAUUAUGGAAGCACAUGCCUACACAACCAGAUUCUGGAGUAAAUACAAAUGCAAAAGUAAGCUGAUGAUUAAAAACAAAAUUCCAGAUUGUAGUAUCAUUAGUCUGCCAAAGAAAAGCUGAAAAAUUAUGACCUUUUAAGUUUUUUUUUUUUUUUUUUUUUUUUCUUGAACUCAGAGUAAAACAUGUUGCAAAAGGAACCUUAUACAAAUUCCAUCUAAACUUACCGAUAGUCCAGUACAUAGCUUCAGCCUCUCCUCUUCCUUAACUCCCACCAAGUUGGUUGGUUCAUUGCCACAGAGUUACGGAUCACUCUACCAAUAUCCUUAGUAAGCAAACUGUUCAGCUCUUUAGUCUAGCGUCCAUGGACGGAAUCGUUAUACUUAACUUCAAUAUUCUUCUCCGUUCGGCGGACAAUCUCUUCGGCUUUUAAGCUUUUUAUCAACCCUUUAGCCCUUUUCUUGGGUGGAUCUACCACGCACCGACAAAACAACACAUCACUAUUCUCAUAAAAGUGCCAAAAACAAUUAUAAAAUAACAGGGGGAGGAUCGGCAGUCCUGAUUAUUGGGGGAGCCAGAGUAGAUAACGAUUCCAAGGGAGGAGCAGCCAUAGUUGGUGGAUUGGCCGGCCUUGGUCCAAGUCACUGAACAGCCUGCUCAUAGCAACGUUUAAAGGCCUCCUGCCUUGACUUCCUCUUAAUGAGCUGCGGCAUAUGGUUCCUAGCCAAAUGAGAUCAAAUUUACAUGGUAUCAAAAAUUUAAACAAGGCCUGCAUUGUAUUAGAACUUGACUUAAAACAAAGUGUCACAUCCCGACCUUUAAAUUUUUACUUUUUUACUAGCUUAGUUAUAAUAAGAAUUUUACCGUCUCCGUCAUUGAGAUUAUAAUUCAAUUGGUCCCUAGAGGGGUUUGGGGGACGGUUAUUUUCGGAGGAUUUUUCGUCGGAGAAAAAUGUGACGACGGUAAAAAUAGUAAAUUUUAGCUAGUAAAAGAUAAAUUUUAUUACGGUAUUUUGUUUUGGGGUGUUAAAUUGGUGGAGUUGGGUUUAAUUGUGGUGUUGGACCGGGUUGGUGUGAGGCCCAAACACCAUUUCCCCCUCUCUUUUUCUUCUCUUCCUCUUCUCUUUUUCUUCUCUUCCUCCCGACCUCUCUCCCAACCUCUCCCGUUGUCGAAUCCUCGAGCCAUCGCCUGCCGCCGUCCGGCCAGCCACCGACCGCCGCUCCAGCCCAGUUCGGAGCCCCGCCACCUCCUCUCUCUUCCCGGCCUAGUGUCCCCUCCGGUAACGCCGUCGAUUGGAAGAUUUUCCACCGGAGACGCUGGACUGUCUCUCGCCGAAGCUCCCUCCUCCUGCCGCCAUAGCCGGCAAUUCUUGGCUCGUUGUGAAGCUCUCCUCCCGUGCAGCAAUCCCUCCAAAGGGCUCGCCCUCUCGUGGUCUAGGUAAGGAAAACCGGUGAGUGGAAGCUCUAGGGUUUUCUAGUGUGUUUUCAUUCGAUUGACCUAGUUAGGCUUGGAAUUGGGUGUUGUGCCAGUUAAGGAAGUUGUAGAGGGAGUUGAGAGGAAUAUUCUGUUUAUAUUUGGUGGGCAUUGGAGGUCGCCGGAAUCAGCCUCCGGCCGCCGCCGCCGCCGCUAUUUGGGAGUUUUGUAUGGCUUUAAAUGUGGAAUAUAAAGAGGAGUUUAUUGAUGUGAAUUAUGAAAUUUUCGGAUGAGUUUUGUAUAUGUUUGUGAAUUUCUGAAGUUUGGUGAUUUUGGCGGUUGAAUAAUGUAGAAUCCGGCCGUAAGAUUUAAGUCAAUUUCUGGGGGAGGUUGUAUUUACGACUACCGAGUAUGGUAUUAAACUUUGGGUCGUUUCGAGUGAAGAAUAUCGAAGUUAGGCAAUGAUGAGCGUGUUUAUGGCUCUCGGUUAAUUUUGCCUAUUUUGUAUAAAUUUUGGAUUUUUAGUUGGGAAAUUAAUUAUAUAUUUGUGCCAGGGUUCGAGGAAACCUCACUGGAGUGGCGAUUUAGAUUUCGUCAGGCUUAUGCCUAGAGUUGUGAGUGGACCUUUGUUUUAAUUGAAAAGCAUGCGAUGAGUUAUUUUGUUGAUCAUUUGUUUCUUCUGAUGAGACUUAUUGAUUUCUCGGUUAUUUGACAAUUUUUCCUCCUUUGGAGAGUUCCCGAAAAUGAGAUUUUCGGUGGAUAUGUUUAUUGGAUGUUAUGAGUAUAGUAUGUAUAUAAAUGCUAGCUAGCCAUACGUGCUUGGUCCGUCAUAAUGAGGUAAAAUACCAUUAUGGUGUGACGUGAGUGUUAGACACAAGCGUCAUAACCCUAUAUGAAAACUACGUUCUUUUCUGGUUUAUUUAGGUUUUUAUAUAGGGAGUCCACACGUAUAUAUACACCAUCCUCUUCCGUCAUAAUGAGGAAAAAUUCCAUUAUGGCGCGAAGUGAGCGUUAGACGCAAGCGUCGUAGCCUUGUAUGAGUUUCUAUUCUUCUAAGUUGUUCAUAGAAUUCAUACAAGGAGUCUGACGAGUGUAAAUACAUACACGUAUAUGUUUAUCUAUAGUUUAGCCUGAGAGGCUCCAUUUUAUUUGAGUUGGUGACUAGCCGGAGCUAGUCGUGAAAUUGCCAAUUUAUGAGUUGAGCGUUUUUGAGCGAACGCAUGCAGUAUAAUUUCUUUGGAAAUUAAAAUGGGAAUGCAUAAAUAUUUUUUUAUUAAUUUAUUUUUGUCCACUCACUCUAACGUUUUCAAAUGUUUUCCCCUGGGCCUUUCGUUUUAAAAAUGCCCAGCUUGCAGGUUAGCUUAGUUGAGGUCGGGCGUGCAUGGAGAUGAGGCAUAGUCAUCAUAUAGCUUCCGCUUGUUAAUUUAUUAUAUUUCAUUUCUUCCUAUUAGAGUUGCUCUGAACCUAUAAAGGGUUGGAUUUGAGAUUUGAGAUUUGUUUAGAUUAGUAAUUAAUUUGGGUGGUGUUGUGAUUUGGGGAGUACGAAGGCUCCAGGAGUUUAAGGUUGGAUUUAAAUUUUCAGAAGUGUUUACAGUUUUAUUAGGAAGGGUUGUCCAUUUUCAAGGGAGGUUAUGCCGAAUUUUUGGUAAACUUUCUUUGGAGGUGGCCCCCGCAAGAUUUACUUCGGGUUUCAGGGUGAAAUUCGGGGUGGGUCCUGACAGUUGGUAUCAUAACACUAGGUUAUUCGAUUCCUUUCUCUUUUUAGUACUACCUCAUAUUAUUGGUCAUACUUAGUGUCUAUAGAGUAAUGGUCCGACCGCUGCGGAUCUAUUACCAUUAUAUGCUUUAGACACUAUGUGUUGAUUAAGUUUAUGAUGUAGUUGUUCUUAUCUUGUUUAUGGACAGUAUUGUAUCAUAAAUGUCUAUAUCUCUAAGACUAUGCCUCCGUACGCCGACCUCUUAAGUAAAUCUUUAUGCUUUGAGUAAUGAAAAGGUGUAUGGAUCACGCCUUUUCCAAGGUUAUCAAGUUGAUAUCAUAAAUUGUUAGAGUUCAAUUGCGUGGCAGCAUUCCUUUCAUGUGAUCAAUGAUUAUUUGGGUUAUGAUUAAGAUGCUAGGGUGAGCAUCUCGUGCGAAGGUGUAGAAGGUGAAAAGUUUAAUUCAAGCCUUGGAGUUCACUAAUUAUAGUGGGCAAGUGUGAAGUUGUUGUAGUCCGAUAGAAAAAUCUUGGCUUCGAGUUAUGUGACUUCUGGGAGAAAAUAGUUGGAAAGAAAGUUCGAAGUAGUGGUGUUUUCUUUUGAUGUUAAAGUUAGUUGAAGUGUUAUGGUGGGUACCUAUAGUAACUCUUGGAGGUACCUUUCUGAGUUGUUGCGGACCCUAAGCUUAAGCGAUUUAGUCACGUGGGAUUUGUGGCUAGUGUUUGGGUGGUAAGGCAUUGCUACAUAAAGAGAUAAAUGUCAAUUUAGAUAAGUCAUGGUUGAAGGCUAAUUUGCCGACUAUGUUUAUCCGCAGUAAAAAGCAGUUGGGAACAUUUUGGGAAAAUGCUGGUUAUGUCAGCACAUAUUCUGGUUCCUAUAACUCUAAUUAUGGAUAAGUUUUUAUCUUUUGAGCAAUUUAUUAAGAUGGUGGUGGUAAUAUCUUUUAGGAAUGACGGAUAAUAGUAGUCAAUGAAUAGUAAGAUUUCUGAUUAUUUUGGUCUCUAUUGUGGGUUAGUUGAAGUUUGUUAAAGCGCUAAGUGUAAUGACUUGGAUUGCUUUUCCUUGGGUUAGUUUUACAAAAGUCAUUGGUUAGUGCGUUGUGACAACUUCUUGUUGUGCCAUAGUCGGGAAAUUUUAGAAAUUGAAUGGUGGCACUAAAUGUUUUGAGUUUCAAGCAAGUUUGGAAUCAUGGAGUGAGAUGUCAGUUGUAUUAUUUUAAUCGUGGAGCCAUUAUGGAUUCUUUCAGAAUUCUAGGUGUUGAAGUUCGGUUUCUAGAUUUGUUGAGUGUUUGGGAAAUUGCAGCUUUUGUGAGUAGGUGUCAAAUUUGUCAGCAAGUAAAAGCUGAAAGGCAGAAGCCUUCUGGAUUGCUUGAGCCGUUGCCUAUUCCAGUGUGGAAGUGGAACCACAUCACCAUGGAUUUUGUUUUCAGUUUACCUCGUACCCGUGAAGGGCAUGACGGUAUUUGGGUGAUUUUGGAUAGACUCACCAAGUCUGCACAUUUCUUGCCAGUAGGAAAAAAGUUCAAAUUGGAGAAGACCCACCACUGUGACGGAGAUCCGUAGUUUCUUGGGAUUAGCAGGUUAUUAUCGGCGCUUUGUGAAAGAUUUUUUCAAAGAUUGUUGCUCCUCUUACAAAAUUGACCAAGAAGGGGGUUAAGUUGAAUGGUCAGAUCAAUGUGAGCAAGAGUGCAUGGGUGUCCAAAGUAAUUUUUAAGCAGUGUCGUUCCGGGUGGUUGAUUUAAGUCUUGAAUUUGUGAUCGAAGUUGGUUAUUGACAUCACUUCGUUCGCAAUGGGUGACUAACUACGACACAACAAUGGGAGAAUCUGUUCUCACCUUAUUUUUAAUUUGGUGAUGUGGAUCAGAGUUUUAGUUGUGGUGUUUUGGAAGUAUAUAAAUUAUUCCUACUGUAGUUUUUGGAUAGCAUCCUCAGAGCUUGAAAUUUUGGAAUGCGAAUUCAACGCUUCGAUUUGAAGGGUAAAGAUUCUGGUUAUUUUGUCGAAGUUUUGAGGUAAAUGAUAAAUUGGUAGUUGUGUCGUAGUCAUGGAUCUGGAAUAAAUCCAGUGGUGAUCCCAAGUGAGCUGGAGUUCAUUUAAGCGAUGAAUCUUGGUGCCGUAAAUCCUAUGUGGUAGUUUGAGAGUUGAAUGGUGAUGUUGAUUUUAUGGUUUGUGUGUCGUUGUGGGUGUGAUUUAUGUUGUAGCUUUAGGGAAGGAGGUUUCCCCUUGUUGACUCAAGAAGCUUUUCGAGUCAAAGUUUAUUAAGAGAUUUAAUAUGGCGAAUAGUAGAUUGAUGGAUAGGUUGAUCAACGUCUCUUCUCGGGAUCGUAUUGUGGUGGGACCACUCAUUGAUCCAAGUUUGAUUUGGGAGGUCUUCGUUUUUUUUGGUUGUGCGUUCAUCCAUUUGGUGUUGGGAUGAUUAGUUGAGGUUUCUAGUGUGAUUUUCGAAACGGGUUCUGGCAGAUAUCGGAGAUCUGUGGAGCUUUUGAGCUCGAAGUUAGAGGACUUGCCCAUUUCGUAUGCUUUAAGUUAUUUCUUUUGGAACUAGAACUGAGUUUAGCCAUGAGUUUUGAUUCUUGCUUGAAUUCAUGGUUUUCGUUGGUUGGUGAACCACAAAGUGUAGUAGUGGGUCUUGUAUAAAAAAUUUAUCUUUGCAUUUGAUAGUUGCAUGAUACUGCAAGCUCGAUUAUCAAAGAAUCUUUUUGAUGGGAAGCCGUGGCCCUGGGAGGUGUAGGAGACAUGAGCGAAUCUGAUUUUCAGAUCGUCUUCUGCUAUCAGAUUAAUCGUUAUUAGAGGUAGAAAAAAGUGUGUUUGUCGGGUCCAAAGGUUUUGGCGUUUAGAAUCAUUCUUGUGGAAUGGCUAGAGUGAGCCGUGUGCUUUUAAUUGUUGCAUUUAGGGUCGCGGUUCCUACCGAUUAAGUAACAUGGCUGGAGAUGUAAAUUUUGUCAAUGCUUAAAGAAGGUGUUCUAUUUACGUGGAUUUCAAUGCCAAGUUUUGCAUCACGAAUUGACUGUGCCAAUUUUGGUGGGCAUUGUUAAUCAGUUUUGUUUAUGGCGAGCAUGAGGGAAUAUCCAAUUUUCACAUCAUAGUCAUGUUUCAGAUUAUCUUCUGGUCUGUGGUAAAGAGAAUAGUGGAGAUAGCAGAAUCAGGAGAGAGUUGGAAUUCCCAUAAGUUGCUAGUUUGUGGUGCAUAAAAUGGUAAUGUAAUAGUUUUGGUGGAGACACCUAAGUGACGUGGUAUUGAUCUUUUCAUAAUGUCAUUUCGAGAAUCGAGGUUAUCAUAUGUUGGUGGACUGGUCCCUUAGGCAGAGCAAGGUUGUCUUGUGGACUUGCGAGAGCUUUGAUUCCGCGAAAUACUCUACGAAGUGUCUCGGUAAUAGAAAUGAUUGUUGCAGUUCUGCAGUGUGUGCAUCCUUAAAUCUGUUCAAUUAGCGAGUCUUAAUUUUGACCCCUAUGAGCAUGUGGGAAUGUGUGAACUUUAGUUUCCUAGCAGGUGGGCUUCAUCGUCGAGUUUGUGAGCAACGUAUUGACGAGGUUGUUAUGCGACGUUAGGAGAUUUUAGCCCGAUGGUGAUAGCAAAUGUAUGCGCUUUAUUUGGGUUAACUAUUUCCAUUGCUUAGGAAAGAGUGUGCAUACCUACGGGUACUCGUACUCUGGAACAGGUAUCACUGAACUCACUUACGUGUAAACGUUAGUGGUAGUUCAACGAAGGAUUUAGAGUCUUCGAGAAGAUUUAAAAUAAUUCAGGAUUCAAAUGAGAAUAUUAAAGUGGUUAGAGAUAGACUCAAGGCCGCUCAAAUUAAGCAGAAGAGUUAUGCAGAUGUCCGUAGGAAAGACCUUGAAUUUUAGGUGGGUGAUUGGGUGUUCUUGAAACUAUCUCCUUGAAAAGGGGUAGUACGUUUUGGUAAGCAUGGGAAGCUUAGUCCAAGGUAUAUUGGCCCAUAUGGGAUAAUAGAGCGAGUUGGCUCACUUGCUUAUCGGUUAGCUUUGCCCCAGAAUUAGCCAGGAUACAUAAUGUGUUUCAUGUAUCCAUGCUUCGCAAGUUUAGUGCCGAUCCCUCUCAUGUGUUGCAAGAGCAGCCGAUCAGUUUGACGAAAGAUUUGACCUAUGAAGAGGAACCGGUUCAGAUUCUUGACCGAAAGGAGCAAGUGCUUAGGAACAAGACAAUCCACUUCUCAAGGUGGUUUGGAGAAGUCAUCAAGUAGAAGAAGCUACUUUGGGAAUCAGAAAAGCAAAUGAUGCAACAGUAUCCCUAUCUCUUCGAAUGACAGGUAUGUAAAUUUCGAGGAUGAAAUUUUUAUAAGGAGGGGAGAAUUGUCACAUCCCGACCCUUAAAUUUUUACCUUAUUUACCACCUUAGUUAUAAUAAGAAUUUUACCGUCUCCGUCAUUGAGGUUAUAAUUCAAUUGGUCCCUAGAGGGGUUUGAGCGACGACUGUAAAAAUGGUAAAUUUGACAGUAAAAAUGGUAAAUUUUAGCUAAUAAAAGGUAAAUUUUAUUACGGUAUUUUGUUUUGGGGUGUUAAAUUGGUGGAGUUGGGUUUAAUUGUGGUGUUGGACCGGGUUGGUGUGAGGCCCAAACACAAUUUCCCCCUCUCUUUUUCUUCUCUUCCUCUUCUCUUUUUCUUCCCUUCCUCCCGACCUCUCCCGCUGCCGGAUCCUCCAGCCAUCGCCGGCCGCCGUCCGGCCAGCCACCGGCCGCCGCUCCAGCCCAGUUCGGAGCCCCGCCACCUCCUCUAUCUUCCCGUCCUAGUGUCCCCGCCGCUAACGCCAUCGAUUGGGAGAUUUUCCAUCGGAGACGCCGGACUGUCUCUCGCCGAAGCUCCCUCCUCCGGCCGCUAUAGCCGGCGAUUCUUGGCUUGUUGUGAAGCUCUCCUCCCGUGCAGCAAUCCCUCCAAAGGGCUCGCCUUCUCGUGGUCUAGGUAAGGAGAACCGGUGAGUGAAAGCUCUAGGGUUUUCUAGUGUGUUUUCAUUCGAUUGACCUAGUUAGGCUCGGAAUUGGGUGUUGUGCUAGUUAAGGAAGUUGUAGAGGGAGUUGAGGGGAAGAUUCUGUUUAAAUUUGGUAGGCAUUGGAGGUCGCCGGAGUCGGCCUCCGGCCGCCACUAUUUGAGAGUUUUGUAUGGUUUUAAAUGUGGAAUAUUAAGGGGAGUUUAUUGAUGUGAAUUAUGGAAUUUUCGAAUGAGUUUUGUAUAGGUUUGUGAAUUUCCAAAGUUUGGUAUUUUUGGCGGUUGAAUAAUGUAGAAUCCAGCCAUAGGAUUUAAGUCAAUUUCUGCGGGAGGUUGUAUUUACGGCUGCCGAGUAUGGUAUUAAAGUUUGGGUCGUUUCGAGUGAAGAAUAUCGAAGUUAGGCAAUGAUGAGCAUAUUUAUAGCUCUCGGUUAAUUUUGCCUAUUUUGUAUAAAUAUUGGAUUUUUAGUUGGGAAAUUAAUUAUAUAUUUGUGCCAGGGUUCGAGGAAACCUCACUGGAGUGGCGAUUUGGAUUUCGUCGGGCUUAUGCCUAGAGUUGUGAGUGGACCUUUGUUUUAAUUGAAAAGCAUGCGAUGAAUUAUUUUGUUGAUCAUUUGUUUCUUCUAAUGAGACUUAUUGAUUUCUCGGUUAUUUGGCAAUUUUUCCUCCUUUGGAGAGUUCCCGAAAAUGAGAUUUUCGGUGGAUAUGUUUAUUGGAUGUUAUGAGUAUAGUAUGUAUAUAAAUGCUAGGUAACCAUAUGUGCUUGGUCCGUCAUAAUGAGGUAAAAUACCAUUAUGGCGUGACGUGAGUGUUAGACACAAGUGUCAUAGCCCUAUAUGAAAGCUACAUUCUUUUCUGGUUUAUUUUGGUUUUCAUAUAGGGAGUCCACACGUAUAUAUACACCGUCCUCUUCGGUCAUAAUGAGGAAAAAUUCCAUUAUGGCGCGACGUGAGCGUUAGACGCAAGCGUCGUAGCCUUGUAUGAGUUUCUAUUUUUCUAAGUUGUUCAUAAAAUUCAUACAAGGAGUCUGACGAGUGUAAAUGCAUACACGUAUAUGUUUAUAUAUAGUUUAGCUUAAGAGGCUCUAUUUGUGAAAAUAUUGGUACGGUGAAAUGAUGAUGAAAAUCAUUAAUGCCUGAUUAAUGGCCGAAAUUAAUAUAAUACCAUAAUCAUAUAAUAAUUCAAAAAUAUAAAUGUUGAUAAAACUACAAGGCACGGACUCCAACAAUAAAAAAAUGGCACGGAUCGACUUCUGUGUCGUUGAUGGGAACCAAGUUUUGCUUGAUCUAACGAUCACAAAUGCACGAGCCCAAAUUCGUCUCUCUCUUUCCUCGCUUUCUUUCGUUUAAAGCUUCUUCCCCACCACAACAAAAACCUCUCUAUUUCUUUCUCCGACCCCUCAAAUCUCUCCCAUCUCUACAAACCCAAAGCUCCACUUUUACAGAUAAACAUGCCAUCUACCACCACCGCAGAUAUACCACUCUCCAAACUCCUGUCCUCCUUUUCUACCCAGAUCUCUCCUCCUCCUCCAGUGUCUACCGCGAGCCCUCUGAUCUCUUCCGUCGCCUCGACCACGUCGAACACCUCCUCGACUCCCUCCUCCUCGUCUCCAACGAUAUCGGCGUCGCUGUUGCGUCAUCUCCCUCGUCUUUGAAUCGAUCUGGGUUCUCCGAUCCCCUGCCCGACUCGUCACCUCCUCCGCCACCUAAUCGGACCUCGUUCAGAGCUCCAAUCCCUCUAUCCUAAACCAGAUCCAUUCUGAUACGCCUCUCCUGAUCUAGAUCCUUUUCUUCUUUUGAUGUUCUUGAUGGGUUGUUGUGAUGUGGUUUGAUGGAUUGGGUUGUAAUGGUGUGGUUUGUGACGGUGGGGUGAGUUUGAUAGAUGGGUGGCGGUGGUUUUUGAUGGAAAGAAUAAUAAUAGAAAAGAAAAGGAAAUUAAAUAGAAAAGGAAGUUAAAUAGAAAAGGAAAAUGAAACCUAAAGAAAAUAUUAAAUUUUUUUUCCAGAAUCAAAACAAUUAAAUUUCCGUUGACUAGUAUUCGUCACUCUAGUACUUAGACCACGAUAUAAAGUUUGUUAUUGUAGUUCUAUGGUGUCGAAACGAUUCGUCAUGUUAGCUAGUCAACUUUUGUUGGCUUAAUCCCAUUGAGACGAAAAGAGUUUCGUUGUCUUAACACCUACUUAGAUGAUGAAACACCUUUUUUGUCACGCCUCGGUUCUUAAGUUAUUUUACGGUUAUUUACUUUGGUAUUAUUUUUUGGUCUUUUACGGUGUUAAGUAACCGGUUACCCCUUAAGGACUCUAAAGUUGACUUUCUUUUCUGUUUGGAAUUUGGGGAAACUUUCUUCAUGAAAGUUGUAGAGGACGUUAAUACGAGUUCGUAGACAUGCUAUAUGUUAAAAUCGGAGUUAGCAUGAAAAAGUUAUUAUUAAAAGAGUAAAUUUUGAGUUGGAGAAAGGGGGUAAUUAUUAAUGGGUAUUAUUUUUUGGUUGGGUUUAUAGCUGGGCCGGCUGUGGAGCAGCCCAAAACCCUCCCCCCUCAUUUCCUCUCUCUCCCUCUCUCCCUCACCCGUCACUUUCUCUCCCUCCCUCACCCGUGCAACUUGACCCGCCGGAGAAGAGCCUCUGUCCGCUGCCGUCCGGUCGCCAGGGACCGCCGGACCACCUUUUCCCAGACCCCCCGCCACCUCCUCUCCCUCCCCGGCCUAACCCCCGAGCCGUUAGCCCGCCGGAAGAGGAGAAAACCCGCCGGAGACGCCGGGAAGCUUUUCGCCGAAAAUCAAACCUCCGGCCGCCAGUUGUCGAAAUCUUUGGCUCAUCUUGUAGCCCUCAUCAAGGUGAGUAAUCCCUCAAAAGGAAUUAGUCUAUCUCGUUGUGGUUAUAGAGAAAUGUAUAAUUGAAGUUUUAGUUAGCCUUAGAAAUAGACUAAGUGCUAGUUAUGAAUGUUAUUGAGCAUGAUGAGAGGAAUAUUCUGUGAAAAAUAACCAAAAUACCCUUUUGAAGUCGGCGUACAGAGGCAUAGUCUUGAAGAUGUAGACAUUUAUGGCACAAUAAGGUCCAUAAAUAAGAUAAGAACAACUACCUAAUAUACCUAAUAAACACCUAGCAUCUUAUGCAUAUAAUGCUAAUGGAUCCGCCGCGGUCAGACCAUCAUUCUAUAGACACCAAGUAUCACCAAAUAUAUGAGGUAGUGAUAGGAACCGGAUAACCUAACGCUCUGAUACCAACUGACAGGACCCACCCCGAAUUUCACCCUAAAACCCGAGGUAAUUCCUGCGGGGUCCACCUCCAAGGAAAAUUUACCGAACAUUCGGCAUAAUCUACCUUGAAAAUGGACAACCCUUACCUGAAAAAUCCAACUUAACACUUCUAUAAACCAAUAUCCAUCCUCAACACCUGGAACCUUCCUGCUCCCCAAGUUCAACACAUCUCCCAAUAUAACAAUUACUCAACUAAACUAAUCCCACAACCGACAAUAGCCAACAUUAAUUCAUUAACUGAUUAUCAGAGCAGAUCUAAAGUUAAACGAAAAACAAUGACAAAAGAAUAAGCGAAAGCAACUUCUGACUAUGCCUCGACUCCAUGAACGCUCGACCUCAAAUAACUUAGCCUGCAACCUGGGCGUUUAAAACCAGAGGGCCCAGGGGAAAGUAAUUUAAAACGUUAGAGUGAGUGGACGAAAAGUAAUCAAGUAACCGAUCGCAAUGUAACUAACCAAACUUAAUUACUUUCCCAUUUUCCAAUAAUCAAGAAAUAUGUUGCAUGCAAGUGUUGAUAAAACUUUCAUAAAGAAAAUCUCAAGGAAACGGACUAGCCUCGCUAGUCAAAAUAUUGACAAAGAUAACUAACCUUCAUUGAAGAAAAUACCAAAAUAAUGGACUAGCCCCGCUAGUCAAGACAACAAUAAGGAUUCAUAAAGACCUUGUAAAAAGGGAAAUAUCAAAAAGAUGGACUAGCCCCGCUAGUCACAACAACAACAACAUCAAAUAAGAAACAGAUGUAGCCAUACAGGUGAGCCUCCCAGACUCGGUUGCCUCCUAGGCAAAGUACUCCCAUACUCCCUACACCUUCACGUUAUGAUAACAGAGAGGGUGUAGGGCUUGCGUGAUGUCGUCGACUACAUCACAUCACCUGAAGGCGGAAAGGGCUUGAGUAACCCCACUUAAAACGUGGAAGUUACAUCGCCUUGAAAGGCUAGCAUGAAUAUUAACGAUCUAACAAGUAUGGCAUAAAUAAAGAAAUACAAAUCCAUGUGAGUUUCCCCAAAACUCAUAAUUAAAGCAUAAGUACAAUUCCCAACCGCACUCAAAGAAUUCAAAGAGCAAAGAAAUUAAUUAAAUUCAACGACGUGUCCCACACGUUAAAAUGCUCAAUGAAAUAAAUAACUUCAAUAAUUAUCAUCUUUCAAAAACCAAACAAUAUGAAAAUCAGUACGAAAUCUCAAAUCUCUAAUUAUCAAUCCAAGCUCAAAUCCAUAAAUUAUAACCCACAUUUAAUCCAUGUAUCAAUCUCAAACAAUUUUCAAGAUCAUUUCACAUGCCGAAGUCAUAAUAUAUGCUCAGAAAAUAAAAUACUAAAUUAUAAAAUCUUGCAUGCAUAUUAUUUAAAACCCAAAAUGUCCACUCACAGAUUUUGGCCUAAGCCUGACAAAUUCUGAAUCACCACUCAAGUGGGGUCUCCUCGAAUCCUGGCACAACAACCAUGCUUAGGACCAAACUUCAAUUCCGGAAAAUAAAUACGUGAAUAAAAACAUCUAACUCUCUUCUAUUUAACCCACUACUGUUAUUAGGGUUAAACUCAUCGGAUUCACAUCAAACUCCAUCACAACCUUAAAUCAUCAAUUCUAACAUUCUAGGCUAAAUACCAAGGAAAUUCAACGGCCGGAUUUUUAUUCUAACAACCGGCAAAAUCUUUAAUCUUUGAAAAAAAAAUCUCAAACCUUAUCAAAACUCUUCCAAAAAUUCCAAACUUUACUUCCUUAAACUUCUCUCAUUAAAACAAACCCAAAAUCAUGAAAAUUGCCCCUAACGGCGGCGGCGCCGGCUACCCCGCCGCCGCCGGCGGCCGGUAGCCGGAUUCCGGCGAACUCCAAUGCUUCUUAAAUUUUAACAGAAUAAUCCUCUCAUCAUGCAUAACAACUUUCAUAACUAGCACUUAGUCCAAUUCUAGGGCUAACUAGGGUAAUUGAGCCAAAACUUCCAUAAAUCCCUAAAACUUCUAAUUAUACAUUUCACCCUAAUAAGAUCGAAUUAGACCUAUUCCUUUUGAGGGGUUACUUACCUUGAUGAGAGCUACAAGAUGAGCCAAAAAUUCCGACCUAUGGCGGCUGGAGAAGGGAACUCCGGCGAAAAGCUUCCCGACGUCUCCGGCGGGUUUUCUCCUCUCCUGUGGGGCUACCGGCUCGGACACUAGGCCGGGGAGAGAGAGGAGGUGAUGAGGGUCUGAACUAGGGUGGUGUGGUGGCUGGUGGUUGGCCGGACGGUGGCAGCUGACUUCCGGCGGAGAGGGGCUCAGGGGAAACUCACGGGAAAAAGAGAGAGAAGGAAGAGGGAGAGAGAGGAAAUAAAGGGAGGGGUUUUGGGCUGCUCCACAGCCGGCCAGCUAUAAAAACCCAACCAAAAAAAUAAUAUCCAUUAUCAUUUAUCCCCUUUUACCAUCUCAAAAAUUCACUCUCUUAAAUCAUAACUUUUUCAUGCUAACUCUGAUUUUAAAACAUAGCAUGUCUACGAACUCGAAAUAACGUUCCCUACGACUUUCAUGAAGAAAGUUUCCCCAAAUUCCAAAUGAAAUAGAAAGUCAACUUUAAGGUCCUUAAGUAGUAACGGCUACUCAACACGGAAAAAGACCAAAAUAAUACUAAAUUAAAUAACCGUAAAAUAACUUAAGAACCGGGGUGUGACAUCGUAUGUUUUAGUCACCAUAUUAUAGGGUCGUUUAUCUUGAUUAAUGCUAGCUAACAUUAUUAGCGGUCCUCAUCAUAUGUGAGUCGCUAUUAUAGCCUUAUUAGCGGUCUUCUUCAUAUGUGAGUAGAGCGCUUAGCGUGGGACGCUAUUAUAGCCUAAGAGGCAACCGAUCGGUAUUUAUAUUUAUUAGUUAGCUAGCCUUAUUAGCGGUCCUCAUCAUAUGUGAGUUGAGCACUUAGCGUGGGACGCUAUUAUAGCCUUAUUUAGUGGUCCUCAUCAUAUGUGAGUUGAGCGCUUAGCGUGGGACGCUAUUAUAGCCUUGGAGGCAUCGACCCGAGCCUGGGAGUCUCCUUUUUCAUGGUGAUAACUCUUUCCCUAUUUUAUUCUUUUCAAUAAUAUAUUUGAUUAACCAGCGGGACUGGUUUAUCUCCUCUUAUGAGAUUUCUGUUUUAACUAACCAGCGGGGCUGGUCUGUCCUUUAUUAACUGAUUUUGGAUUUAAAGUUUUAAGGACGUUUAAGUUGCAUGCUGUUAAGUUUUAAAAGUUGAAAAAUGGGAAAGUAUAUAAGUUUUAUAAUUGUUAAGUUAUUGAAUUUAUUUUCGUCCACUCACUCUAACGUUUUUAAAUUACUUUCCCUUGGGCCCUUUGGUUUAUAAAUGCCCAGUUUGCAUGUCAGAUCCCGACCCUUAAAUUUUUACCUUAUUUACUAGCUUAGUUAUAAUAAGAAUUUUAUCGUCUCCGUCAAUAAGUUAUGGUUUAAUUGGUCCCUAGAGGGGUUUUGAGGGACGAUUAUUUCGGAGAAUUAUUCGUAGAAGAAAAAUUUGACGACGGUAAAUAGGGUAAUUUUGAGCUAGUAAAAGGUAAUUUUUAGUGGGUAUUAUUUUUGGAGUUGGGUGUAUGUUUGGUGUGGGUAUUUAUAGAGUUGGCCCGGUUUGGGGAGGCCCAAACCAUUUCUCAUUUUCUCUUAUCUCUUCCCCGGUUUUCCUCCUCUCCCGACCUCUCCCGUUUCCGGUUCUUCUCCAGCUCUUGCCGCCGUCGACCGGCCGAGCCAGGCCGCCGGACCGGUCUUGGUUGGACCCCUGUCCUUCCCUCUUAAGCCUUGAGUAGGUGACAGCCCCUCUCCCGUCGGCAAUUGCAAGUUUCACGACAAGAAGCCGUGGUGGUUCACUCGCCGGAGCUCCCUCCUCCGGCCACCAAAGCCGGUGAUCCAUGGCUCGUUUUGUAGCCCUCCUCCUAUGCAGCAACCCCUCCAAAGGUCUCACUCCCUCUUGAGCUAGGUAAGGAGAAAUUCAAAGUUGAAAUCCUAGGGCUCUUUAGGUGAUUGUGUUCGAUUGCCCUAGUUAAGUUUGGAUUUUGUGUUUGUGCUAGUUAGGAAAGUUGUAGAGGGGGUUGAGAUGAAGAUGCUGUUAAAAUUUGAUGAGCAUUGGAGGUUGCCGGAAUCGGCCUCCGGUCGCCGCCGCCGGUUAGGAGAUUUUAAUGUUUUUAAAUUUGGAAUAUUAAAGGGAGUUUAUUGAAGUGAAUUAUAGAAUUUUUGGAUGAGUUUUGGAUAGGUUUAUGAUUUUCCGAAGUGUGGUAUUUUUGGCGGUUGAAUAAUGUAGAAUCCGGCCGUAGGAUUUAAGCCAUUUUCUGUGGGAAGGUAUAGUUCAGCUGCUGGUUCUAGGGUUGAGGUGUGGACCAUUUCAAAGUUAGGUAAAAAUGAGCGGGUUAAUGGCUCUCGGUUAAUUUUUGCCUAUUUUGUGUAAAUAUUGGAAUUUCGGCUGGGAAAUUAAUAUUAUAUUUGGAACAGGACGUGAGGAGGCUCGAGUAGAAGAGACCUCGGAUUGACAUCAGGCUUAGGCCUAAAGUUGUGAGUGGACUUUUGUUUUAAAAUAUAUGCAUGCGGUGAUUCUAUAUUAAAUGAUUGAUUUUAUUGAAUAUCAAUUUGUGGAAUUGUUUAUUUUCGCGAAGUUAUUUUCAGAAGUAAAUGUUCUCAUUUUUAAUGGCUAUCGUGUUAUAUGGAAAGUUACCGGAAAUGAGAUUUUCGGUGGAGUCGUGUGCAUAUUGUUUUUUUAUGAUAAUUGGCAAUUUUCAUUAUUGUUGGAGAAUAACCGAAAUUGAGAAUUUCGGUGAGUAUAUAUAUAUAUAUAUAUAUAUCCAUAUUUGGAUGAUUAUGAGAAUAAUAUGUGUAUGAAGGAAUGCUAGCUAGCUAUACGUGCUUUUCCACCAUACUGAGGUAAAAUUCCAUUAUGGUGCGACGUGAGCGUUAGACGCAAUCGUCGUAGCCCUAUAUAAAUUAUAUUUAUAUAGGGGAUAUGCGCGUAUAUAUUUAUACACCGUCUUUUCCACUAUAAUGAGGUAAAAUGCCAUUAUGGUGCGACGUGAGCGUUAGACGCAAGCGUCGUAGCCUUGUGUGAAUUUUCUAUUUGUCUUUGUUGUUUCAAGAAAAUUCAUACAAGGGAUAUGACAAGUGUAAUACAUACAUAUUUUAUGUUAGCCUGAGAGGCUGUAUUUUAUUGAGCUUUGGCGACUGGCCGGAGCUAGUCAUGAAAUUGCCAGUUUUCGUGUUGAGUGUUUUUGAGCUGUCCAAUGCAACAUAUUUUCUAUGGAAAUGUAAUUUGGGAAAGCAUAAAUAUUUCCAUUAAAUUUAUUUUUGUCCACUCACUCUAACGUUUGUAAAUGUUUUCCCCUGGGCCCUUCGUUUUAAAAAUGCCCAGCUUGCAGGUUAGCUUAGUUAAGGUCGGGCGUACAUGGAGAUGAGGCAUAGUCAUCAUAUAGCUUCCGCUUGUUAAUUUAUCAUGUUUCCUUUCUUCCUAUUAGUGUUGCUCUGAACCUAUAAAUGGUUGGAUGUGAGAUUUGUGUAGAUAUUUAAAUAAUUGGGAGAUGUUGUGAUUUGGGGGAGCAUGAAGGCUCCAGGAGUUUAAGGUUGGAUUUGGUUUAUCAGAAGUGUAUGCAGGUAUUAUUAGGAAGGGUUGUCCAUUUUUAAGGGAGGUUAUGCCGAUUUUUCGGUAAAUUUUCCUUGGAGGUGGUCCCCGCACGACUUACUUUGGGUUUCAGGGUGAAAUUCGGGGUGGGUCGUGUCAUUGCAGGCUAAGUUAUUUGAGGACGAGCGUACAUGGAGUCGAGGCAUAGUCAGAGGCUGCUUCCGCUUAUUCGUUUUCAUUGUUUUCAUUCAUCAUUAGAUAUGCUCUGAAAGUCCAGUGGUAGCUUAUUAAAUGUCUUUGUUGUUGGUUGUGGAAUUAUUAUUAGAUGAGAAAUUGUUAUUGGGAGUUUUGAUGAAUUUGGGGAGCAGGAAGGCUCUAGGAGAUGAGGAAGGAUGUUUGAUUAUAGAAGUGUUAAGUUGGAUUUUUCAGGAAAGGGUUGUCCAUUUUCAAGGAAGGUUAUGCCGAAUUUUCGAUAAAUUUUCCUUGAAAGUGGACCCCGUAGGAUUUACCUCGGGUUUCAGGGUGAAAUUCAGGGUGGGUCAUGGCAUUUUUUCAUCACCUUAGUACUACAACCACCUAACAAGGCUUAGAUGACGAAUAUUUCGUCACCAUAGCGCUAAGUUGACCACUGGAACGAAUAAGUUUCUUCACUUAAGGGCUUUUUUCUAGUAGUGUGUAUGGCUAGCUUGCAUUUAUAUACAUACUAUUUUUAUAUAAAUAUAUAAAUAUUCACGGAAAAUCUCAUUUUCGGUAAUUCUCUAAAUAUCGAAGUUAACAAAUAAAAUAAGAACAUUACUUUCGAAAAUAACUAUGUGGAAUUAACUCAUGAAAGGAAAUCAAUUUCAUAAAUUAAGAUUCCGUAAAAUAAAAACAUUCAUUUAAUAUAAAACUAUUGCAUGCAUUUAAUUUAAAACAAAGGUCCACUCAUAGUAUUCGUCUUAAGCUUCCCAAUGCUCGAAAUACUCCUCGAGCGUUGCGUCCAAACAUCCAAAUCCUCAAAUCAACCUCACGCUUGACGAUAAGCUGUAAGACAAAUCGGUCAAACCAAACUUCGAAACAACUAUUGCCUCAACCCCUUUCCUAGUUUGACUAGGGUUGACCAGGAUUCACCAAGUUUGACCAAUUGACUUAGGGUUGACUAACUAACGAUGUUUCGACGUUUAACAACUUAACCUUUAACUUAAUGAUUCGAGUCAUUUUCACUAUACGUCCUACUAACCGUUAAACACUUAGGCGUUGCUUAAUAAUUCUAGAAUCACUAAGGACGCCCACAUUUACGCUUAAAAGAUAAUUUUUGUAAUCUUCGAUUUUGAUUAAUCAAACUAAUGUAAUUUCAUUAACGCAAAACAUACAGAACACAUUAAUCUAGAAAACCACUAAAUUACAAAGGGCAGCCAAAAAGGUUUUCAUAAAUGAGAAGUUUCCAUAACGGGAAAGUUUCCCAAAAUAGAAACUUUCCUAACUUAGUAAGUUUUCCGAUUACAACCCGAAUUUUCCCAUUUUGGAACUACAACACAAAUUAGAAAGAAUGUCCUCGAAACUACCUCAUCGGUUCUGCUAGAAAAACUGCAUUCGCCGGAAUAUUCUGCCGGAUUCCGGCCACUCGCCGGAAAAUGGCCAUAGCCUCCCUGUGUUCUCUAAAACACCAAGUUCUCAACAUACAAGCAACCAAAACACCCAAAUUAGCAACAAAACUUCUAUUUCUCAAAACCACAAUCAACAUAGUAUCUUGAAAUUCAGAGUUUACCUUCAAGUUGCCUCAAAUCAAAUUCCUUGAAGCUUUCCUUCGCCGGCAGUAGCUUCCUCACCUGAAUCUGGGUUCAGGUCUCCUCUAACACAGCAGCAGCAGCAACACUCCUUGCUUCCAUACAAACUAAUCUUGGUCUGCAGGAAAUCGAUGAAACUUCAGGAAGAAGAGGAGAGACGCCGAGAAGCCUCGACGGCGUCAACGACAGUGGUUUGCCGGAAAUCCUAAAUUAGGCAAAAAUUGAGGUUUUCAAGUUAGAGCUCGAAUUAAGAAAACAAAGACACAGAAAGGAAGAGUGAAGUAUUAAUAAUAUGUUUAUUAUAAUAAUGUGUUUAUUAUAUAUUAGGAGUUCCAUGGAGCAAUACAAGUAUUAAUAUAUAUAUAUAUACACGAAAAUGAUAUGAAGCGCACGUGCGCAUUGUCCUUAAAGUGCGCACGUCCCUUCGUUCGCCGUCGUCGGCACCGGUGGACGUGCGCUCCACAUCCGGCAUGUAUAUAUA